Mastomys coucha (southern multimammate mouse) is the source of this 268-nucleotide long non-coding RNA. RefSeq lists it as uncharacterized. Lineage: Eukaryota; Metazoa; Chordata; Mammalia; Rodentia; Muridae. The transcript is spliced from 2 exons. The record is from RefSeq and is a predicted model, not a curated record.
CCAGGGAUCCCCCAGUGAGAAUAAUGAAGAUGCUUCAGAAGUCUGACAAACUCUCUGCAAAGGACACCACAGAGACCCAGGAGGUGGUCCUGGGCUGUGGAAGAAUGGUAACUAAGCAGGGGCCUGGGAGUAAGGCAGAGAGUGAGCCAGCCAGCGGCUUUCCUCUAUGGCUUCUGCUUCAAGCUCCUGCGGGAGUCCCUGCCUAGACCCCCUCUGUGAUGGAUCAGGAGCUGGGGCAUGUUAAGGUAAUAAAAGCAUUCCUCUCCAA